This 566-nucleotide ribosomal RNA is filed under the name Loxocephala sp. 1 NS-2013. RNAcentral describes it as "partial 16S ribosomal RNA". The record is from RNAcentral. Lineage: Eukaryota; Metazoa; Arthropoda; Insecta; Hemiptera; Eurybrachidae.
AAUCUCGCGUGUAUAUCAAAAACAUCACCUCUAGCAUCACCUGUCGGAGAUCGCCCGUUUUAUCAAAAACAAGUUUUUUAGUUUUAAAUUAAAAGUUUGGCCUGCUCAAUGAGUAUUUAAAUAGCCGCCGUAUUUUAACUGUGCUAAGGUAGCAUAAUAAUUAGUCUUUUAAUUGAGGUUUGGAAUGAAAGGUUGGACGAAAAAUAUACUUUAUUAUUUUAUUUUUUUUUGAAAUUUCUUUUUUAGUUAAAAAUUUAAAAUUUUUAAGAGGGACGAUAAGACCCUAUAGAUCUUUAUAAUUUUUUUUUUUUAUAAGUAUUUAGUUUAUAUUUUUUUAAAUAGAAAAAUUUAUUUUGUUGGGGUGAUAUUUAAAAUUUUAAACUUUAAAAUAUUUUUACAUUAGAUAAUGUAUUUUUUGAUCUAGUUUUUAGAUAAUUUGAAUUAGAUACCUUAGGGAUAACAGCGUAAUAUAUUUGGAGAGUUCUUAUUAAUAAAUAUGUUUGCGACCUCGAUGUUGGAUUAAAGUUUGGUUUUGGUGCUAGUAGCUAAAGGUCUAGGUCUGUCGA